GAAUUAUUAAGAUUAAGUUAGACAAGUUAAAUUCAAUAGCUUGAUAUAUUUUUGACACUUUCAUAUAUGAUACAUAACCAAUAAAUAAUUAUAUGAUUUAAAAAUAAUUAAAAAUAAAAAAAAACUAAAGAAAAAAAAUGGAUGAAACAGAACAAAUAUCAGAAACAUUACAUAUGAUUCAUGGAAAUUCUAAUACAUUAAAUGAAAUAAUUUUUCAUGCAGUAUAUAUACCUGAAGAAAAUCUUAAUUUUUCAAUGGAAAACAAUAUUAAAGACAAUAUUCGAGUAUAUCAAGAUAAAGCAGAAGCAUUAAAAGUAAUUAAGGAAUUUAAGACUGGUCGUUUAAAAUCAUUUAAAAUACGAUCAGAAGCUGAAGAAUAUGCAAAAACUGGUUUUGAAAAAGCAAAUAAUAUAAAUAGUACCUCAAUAAAUACAACAAUAUCUAUAAUAGAAGAAAAAUCAAAUAAUUUUAAAGCUCCAAGAUCUCAAGAUCUUGUAUGUUUUAGAAAGUUAAUUAAAGAUGGAGAUCUAUAUGCUGUAAAAAAUACAGUAUGGGGAAAUCCACGAUAUUUAAUUGGUAGUGGAGAUACACCUGCAAUUCUGCAAGAAGGAUGCCGCUAUAAUGCAUUACAUAUUGCAGUUAGAGCAGAUAGACCUGAUAUGUGUGAGUUAAUAUUAAACACUGUUGGAAAUACAGAUUUUAUAAAGUUACUUUAUGGUGAUGAAUGCAAGAGUUAUGUAGAUCGUGCACAGAUUAUAUUAGAUUUAUAUUUAAAUACACCUGAUAAGGGAUUGAAUGAAACUCCAUUACAUUUUGCAGUUAAAUUUGGUUUAAAAAAUGUAGUUCGAGUUCUUGUUUCAUAUCCAUGUUGUAUAAAAACAUUACCAAAUAAAUAUAAACAACUACCAAUAGAUAUAAUUUGUAGUAGAACGUGUCAAGAAGAUGAAGAAUUGAAGAAAGAAAUACGUUUGCUACUGGAAGAUCAAUAUUAUGUACCUGUAUUAAGAUCAGAUGAUAAUUCAUUACAGCCAAUGAUUGGGGAACCUUUUUCUCCUACUAGUCCUUUGAGUUUAAAUACGGAUCCAAUUAGUCCACGUUUAGAAGUACGUGCAUUUGCUGGACCAAUGACAAAAUCUAGAGCAUUAGAAUUCAGAAAAAAGUGGAAAACACCUCCACGUCUUUGUAUGACUCCAAUUAAAAAAACUGAUGAUGAAUCAAAUGUUAUAGAUAGUCCUACUAAUAAUUUAACUUUGAGAUUACAAGAUGCAGAAAAAGGUCUUGAACGAGUUGGAAGAGACUUAGCAGAAGAAUAUCAAGUAUCAUGGAAAGAAUAUUGGCCAUUUUUAAAUGAUUUUGCAGAUUUUCGUACUAAAGAAGGUUUAAUAAAACUUGAAAAAUAUUUAGAACAUAAAUUUCAAGAUCAAUUAUUUCGUUAUAAUCAGACUUCAAAUAAUGUAAUUAAUUCAAACAAAAAUCUAAAAACAAAAUUACAAAUUGAUGAAAUAGACUAUUUAUGUAAUAAGUUACAAUCAUGGUCAUUACUUACAUCAAAUAAUCAAGAUCAAAAUAAUAUGAAUUAGAAUUUUUUACACCACCAUCAUCACCACAAUUAACAAUAGAUAGUUCUGAUGAUGAAAUGCAAAAUGCAGAAGAAGGUUUUGGAACAUUUCUUGAAGGGCCAGUACCAACAAAAUUGGAUUAUGCUGUUUAUAAUGCAGUGUCAACAUUACUUAAUUCCAUUACAUAUCCAAAUAUUUAUCGCUGGCAACAUGACAUGCAACUUACUAUGAAACGUGAUUUACAUAGGUAUCAAUUUCUUGUCCUUUUGUAUUUAUAAGAAAUGAUUAAUAUUAUCUUUUU
This 1860-nucleotide unclassified non-coding RNA is filed under the name Apis florea (little honeybee). RNAcentral describes it as "ankyrin repeat and LEM domain-containing protein 2, transcript variant X2". The record is from RNAcentral. Lineage: Eukaryota; Metazoa; Arthropoda; Insecta; Hymenoptera; Apidae.